AGCACACCUUGCACUGGGUCAAGCCUAUCAUAGCAGGUAUCACACACUCUCUGGGGGUUCUUCUCCCUAAACUUCAUGGGUAACAGGCACUUCCCUUUUGUGCAUGUCCUACAAAAAACUCCUCCACAAAACCGACAAUGAUGUCUUCCACGAGUAAAUGCUGUGAAAGGCGCAGUGCAUUGCAUACAAAUAGUUGUUGAACUGUCAGGAAGCCACUCUGGAGGCUCAGAUUCCAACACAUCCUUGUACGCACUGUAGUUAAAUGCACUUGGCUCAACUAGCGGUGGAGCACUUGGUAUGUAAACUGAUGAAUGCAAGAAGGUAUCUCCAUUUGUACCAGAUCCAAGAAAUGAAACAUUAGAACUAGGUAACUGCGGAACUGUAUUUGAAACCUGAACUUUAUUCUGCCCAGUAACAAUAGCAACUAGUCCACUCAAGACGUUUCUUAAAUUGACCUCAGGAGGCCCACUUUGCGGCACAAAGUUAUAUGGGACAUUACCAGAACCAUAGCUCCUAUCCAAUACAUCAUCAGAUUCGAUCAGUGGGUACCCAUGUGGAUAACUGUUACCUGCAGCAUGGGAAUCUUCUGAGACUCUACCCCAUGAAUCCUCAUCAACUUCAUCUUCAACAAAUUGAAAUUUCGUAUUGUCUUUUUCCAAAUUAGCAAGUGAAGAAUACACAACUUUUCCUUCAAAUUUCACCAUGUAUCCAGGAUAAUCAGUAUAACAUACAAACAACAGAUGGGCGGAUUUUGUUUGUUUGAUGAUCGGUGAUCGGAGGAAUGAAGAAAGGCGAUAAGAGGU
This 803-nucleotide unclassified non-coding RNA is filed under the name Hevea brasiliensis (rubber tree). The record is from RNAcentral. Lineage: Eukaryota; Viridiplantae; Streptophyta; Magnoliopsida; Malpighiales; Euphorbiaceae.